Molecule: small RNA, 29 nt
Filed under: Bombyx mori (domestic silkworm)
Lineage: Eukaryota; Metazoa; Arthropoda; Insecta; Lepidoptera; Bombycidae
Description: ovarian small RNA-24680
Source: RNAcentral
UCAAGAAAUUUACUGCAUCCCGCAAAUAA